AUGGAGUGAUUCAAAAAGGGAAUUGAAGUUAAGACAUUACGGAAUGACUUUGAUGAAGAAAAGUUGGCCAAAUUUCCAUUGUAGAUUGGCCUAAUGGAACAAUAAACUUAGGUUACAAAAUCUGAAAUUCUUAAAACACUCUAAAAGGGACUUUCAACAACUUUAUAAUCCAAAAUGUGGUAUGAACAUGAAUUUGGAACCUGUGUUCCUAUUAUUUAUGGAAAAAUAAAGAAUUUAGUAUGAAUAGUAUUGUGAAUAGUAACAACAAUGAUACAACAUGCAAAGAACCAAUACCUAAGAUGCUAAUAUGCUCUUGUAUGCCUAAUUAUGAUUGGUUUUGGAUAGGUUGGCAUAUCAAUAGGGUUCUGAUUUGUAGUACUGCUUAUGGCUCCGUGCCAUUCUGUGAUUUAUGAAUUUUAUUGCCAUUUUGUGACUUAUGGCUUUUAGCCAUUCCGUUAUUCCUUGAUAUAUGUUGCUUUAUAACCGAUUGAUGUUAUGGCUUCUUAGCCAUUUUGUUGCGUACCUGGUAGAUACUAUGUGACCGAUAGUGUGACGGCCCGAGAUACUUGGU
RNAcentral lists this unclassified non-coding RNA (571 nucleotides) under Hevea brasiliensis (rubber tree). The record is from RNAcentral. Lineage: Eukaryota; Viridiplantae; Streptophyta; Magnoliopsida; Malpighiales; Euphorbiaceae.